Molecule: long non-coding RNA, 2135 nt
Organism: Carya illinoinensis
Lineage: Eukaryota; Viridiplantae; Streptophyta; Magnoliopsida; Fagales; Juglandaceae
Exons: 2
Source: RefSeq, a predicted model, not a curated record
UGCAUGUCUUAGCUUACUUGUCAUACAUUUACAUGCCUGGUAUUUACGUACUUACCAUGAGGGGCAAAUCUAAGUAUCCAGUUAACUGCAAGUUUAAGUUUUGGUAGGAUUAUGAAGGAUCUCUAGAAAGAAGAGAACUUCUAUAUACAACCGCCGGUGAGGAACCGGCGCGGAAUCGGAUGACGUGGCAGUGUCACGUCAGUUGAUAUUUUAUUAAAAAAAUUAUUAAAAAAAAAAAACAUCGAUUGAAAUAUGCAGAAAAAUGGGAGGGAAACUUAAACCAAGCCCCUCGAUGAGUUGCUCGAGCUGAACCCAGAGAGUCUCACUCUCUGAACGAUCCCGUCUGUGGUCGCCGCCGUGGACUGAACUGGUUGUUGCGCUCGCCGUUCGUCACACAUUCCAGAUUUGAGCCGCCGUCUACGUGGGUUGGACUCGAUUUCCAGAUCCGAGUAGUCGCGUCUCUGCUUCUUCCACUACCACGGUUCUUGAGUAUUUCUUUCUCUUCUUUUGGACUUGAUUUUCUGCUGUUCUUCACACAUUCUCUUCUUUGGAAGUUUCUUAUUCUUAUUCUGCUUGCAAAACGAAUUGAAAAGGCGAAAUGCGACGUCUUUUUGGCAAAUAUCAGAGCUGGAAAGCAUUAUUUUUGUCUAAUCAUGUUCUCUAUUAGUUUUUCCUUUACAUCCUGUUUUUUAGACCACAUCUAGUCAUCUUCUAGCAGUUUCCCAUCACCUUUUAGGGUUUCGGUUCCACAUAACCAUCAGAAAGAUGCUAGUAGUUUCAUCCCAGCUGGAGAACACCUUCUAAAAAAUUAUAGAACUCAUUCAUUUUAGAUUGAAGUGACUUAGAAGAUGAUGAUGGUGAUCAUGAUGAGUAGAUUUUAGCGGUGCAUGUUUUUUACAGGUUGAGAGAUCAGGUGGCCAUUCGGGGAGACCUUUUUGGCUCCCUUUCAAAGGACACACAUCUAUCUGGGUGACUCUUUAUUAAGCACUAGGAUUACAUUUGCUGGCUCUCUCUCAUUUGCUUAUGUUUUCUUGGCGGCUGAACCAUUUGCUUGUGUGGACUAAUGGAAGCUGAGUCUUCUGGCUUCUUGUUGUGUUAUUGGAUUUUUCAGGUUUAUUUAUUUAAUUUUUUAAUUUUCUGUGCGUGUGGUAUUAUUUUGAUUUAUAAUACAAUAGUCUGAAUAUUAGGCAUUGAGGGCGAUGUUAGGAGAAUCCGUUCAAAGAAUUUACCUUUUUGGAAAAAUGCUUGCAGAAAAGAGAGAAUAUUAGGCAUAAUCAUAAUUGCCUUGGACUCUAUUUAUUUAAAUUUUGAGUAUGAGACACAUAAAGUGACCAACUUGUUUGUUCAUUUGCUUUUUUGGUCAAUGAUAAGAAUCGAUCGGUUGGCCAGCUAGUGACAAUACCACCUCGAGUGGUUUGUUGCUAUGCUUAGCGGACCUGAUUAGGAUAUUAUAUAUUUUUAUGUUUAAAUCACAAUUCGGCCUCAAAAGUGCAUUUUGAAUGACCAGGCUCUAUGUUUGGCAAGCUGGAAAAAGCGAAUAUUGUAUGAUCUGGAACAAAACUAUAAUUUAAACUAUAAUAUUGUAAGUUCCAUGAAAAAAGUACGCACUUGAGGUAUGUGACUAUUACUUGUAAGGAGAAAUAUCUAAAUGUUCAAUCUGGAUCUGAUAGUAUUUUCCAAGUAAUGGUCCUUCCAAGUUUCAUGUAGCCAUAUAUGUAUGCUAUUGAUUGGAGGAGGAUUGAACUUAAAAUAAUUAAAAGUUUUGGAAAUAUUCAAUUUGUCGAAAAUAUUUAUAUCACUUGGAACAACAGUCUAAUUUGGCUUUGGCUUGACAGGAAUUAUGGAAACUGAUGCUAUCACUCUGGGAGUUACAAGCAGUUUUGAAGACUUGUAUAGCUGGGAGUUACAAGCAGUUGAGGAUCAAAAUAUGUAUUAAAACUUUCAAGAAUUAUGGCUAUGUAUAUGACCUAUAUUAUGAUGUAUGUAGAAUUAUGGCAGUCUCAGAAUUUAUGUCUUUAGGUUCAUAUAGGGUGAAGAAACCACUCCAGAACACUGUAAAUGAUUACAUGGGGAAUUACUUGGCUUUGAAGUAUGUGACUAUACAGGAUGUAAUGGUUAUGUCCAUUUUUCUGCCA